Molecule: long non-coding RNA, 445 nt
Filed under: Homo sapiens (human)
Lineage: Eukaryota; Metazoa; Chordata; Mammalia; Primates; Hominidae
Description: non-protein coding lnc-SULF2-9:2
Source: RNAcentral
AGUAGUAAGCCGUGCCUGCUGUAGAGAGGAAGCAUUCAGGGGGUUGGAAGUGUGGAGACCCCAGUCUGAUUGCUGGAAUCAGUGCUCCUCGGUUCAGUGUUUUGAGACCAGGUCUUUAGCUUCUAGCUGGGCAUAUUUUUCUGCUUUGUAAUUUAACCUGUAUCUUUUUUUUCCCAUGUUCCUGCCUCAUCAGGGAAUUGUAAGAUUUAGGGGGAGGUGUGGGAAAUCUUACUCUUUGCCCUAAAGUAUUCAGCGAUCAGAAUUCUGGAUACCCUGCAAAACACCUCCAACCUCCCUGCCUUUGAACCCUGUGUUAACAAUGAGAAGCUUGUUUAUUUGAAGGCUGGGUUCUCAUUGGCCCACAGGGGUAGGUUGUAAUUGUGUGUCUAAAAAAUUGCCUUUUGCAUUCCCCAAUAGCAUGACAACUGGAAUAGUAAUUUGACUU